GAGGCGAUGCUCUCGCCAGCGACUGCAGGGACUUGGCCGGUGGUUGCCGAAGGGAGCGGAAAGAGGAGCAGAACCCGCAGAGAGAGCAGGCGGCAUCCCUCUGGUAUGUGCGCUCAGACGGCGGCUUGGAAGGUGUUUGUUCAGCAGGACUGUGUGGGAAGCAAUGCUAGCUGAGUCCGUCCAAAGGGAGAAACUUAUUAGAUUUUCUGGAGACACCGUGGAAAGGCACUUUGUGGAUUGAUUUGGCAUUACAAGCCAAGGACCGACAAAUUCCUCAACAACGUCGAAAGUAGCCUAUUUUAAGAGGAAAUAUGCAGAAGAAGAAGAUUCACAUCAAAAUUACCAAGGGUAUUUUCCAAAACACCUGAUACUACCUGAAGAUCGGACUUGUAUUCUGAAACUUUCUCUGCAGAAGCUCCAGUUCCUUGAAGACCCUGAGAUCUAUCUCCGCCGGUCUGUGUUGAUCAACAACUUGCUGCGAAAGAUUCACCUGGAAACCGAGCGCGAACGCUAUGAAUACUUUAAGGGGUCCCCAUGCUGUCGGACUGCGUACUCUGAUACGAGAAAACGGCUGAAGUUCAUGGUACAAGAAUGCCGUUCUCAAUCCCUUUAUUACGAAGAGCUGCAUUCAUAUCAUAUAGUGCCUUAUCCUACGGAGAAUGCCAUUUAUGGAGUGGGCUACUCAAGCGGCCAUUUGGCGCAAAAUUCGCAAUUGCUUAUUUAUGAAAUGAAGUAAGGUUGCUUUUUAGAGCUGCGGAGUGUUUUGUUUGUAAACGCCUGAGAAGGCUUCUUAGCAUGCUAUACUGAGGCCCUCGUUGCCAAUGUAUGGGAGACCAAAGGCGUGACUUGUCUUUGGCUGUGUGGGGAAUGCAUUGGUGGCAGGAUUGAGGCCUUCUUGACUGCAAAAGUAAUUUGGCAUCCGUAGGAAACUGGUGCAACUGAGAGAUUUCUCAGUAAGCAGAGACACCUUGUGUGCGAUGGCUUUUCGGUUGUCCUUAUGUAUAUAUUUGAAUUAACUUUAGCAUCUCAAUGAUACCACCCUUUUGGGAGAAAGCAAAUGGGUACUAGAAGAAACUAAUAUAUUAGUGUGGUUUUGGUGAGGAUUAAAGGGGCUGUCGUCGUUACUACCCAGAAGGGUUAAGGAAGCCGUUUUCUUGAAGGAAUUCUUAAUCACGGCAUGAUUCUUUGCCAUUUAAAAAUACUGAUCCAUUUUGAUCCUUUUCGGCUGAGGCUAUUCAGUAGCAUUAACUGUUCUGAGACUUGUCUGCUUAGUAAUUCAUUCACCUCAUAUGACUGCUGCUUGGUUUGUUUUGGUUGGUAGUGAUUUUUUUUUUAAAGGUUUCAGUGAAACAGUGAUUUGGAGAUGGUUUCUCAAGGUGACACAUUCAUCUGCUAAUUGCUGCUUGUUUAAGCUUGAAUCCUCUCCAGCUUCCUGUUGAGUUCAUCUGACGAUUGUACAGCAGGGUGCAUAGUGCUUUCAGUAUUAAUGCUUUGCCAGGCAAUUGUGUAUGUAUGUGUGUGUGUGUUCAUGUGAAUUUGGGGAACAUAUUUGUUUGACACAGCGAACAGUAAAUUAUUGCCCUAAAAGGCAAGACUUCUCAGUGUUACCGCAUUGUUUGUGAUUGACGUAGGUGCCCAACGAGAGCUUGUGAAUUUUCUUUUUGUAAUCCUCAGGUAUGUCAGGCGGGGAAGGUGGUGGAUGGAUUGGCAAAGAGUGAGGAGUGGGUGACAGCUGCCAAAAGGUAUGCUCUGAAAAUGCCAAAGAGGAGUAUGAGAGAGGAGGAUGCGAGGAAUGUACUAAGGACUAACUUAUACUACAAUCUGAAGGUAGUAUUGUACCACUUUGACAAUGGCUCCCCCUCAAAGUAUGCUGGGGACUGUAGUUUGCCGAGAUGCUGAAAUUUCUCAUUAGAGAGCCCUAUCGCUGAUGGACUACAAUUCCCAGGAUUCUCUGGGAGAGGGAAUGACUCUUAAACCACUUUGUGAGGAGUCUGGAUGUGCCCUAAAACUUGGCAGACGUUUCUGUUAAAGCCUGAAAGCCAUAUUGUCCAGGUCUAAAGACACAAUCCGCUCCAACUUCUGCCUGCACUAGCCUAAUUGAGAUGAAAUUAGUAAUGUUCUGUUAACACAGUUCCCAUUUUGUCUGUGUUUGGCUUGGGCUGGAGAAUUUCCAGUCAGAAUGUGCCCUGUGUUAUGUCAUCAGAUGCAAAACAAAGGAAUCAAUUUUAUAUUGAUGGUAGUAUAUUGCACAUUAUAACGGUAAAGACUUGCAUGAUGGAAGGACUAAGAAGGCUACUGACUGAAGGGAUAUCUUAUCGAGAUGCCCCCCUUUUAUUAUUAUUUUGUGAAUAAAGCCAUCAUUCUUAUGCAAAGCAAUUGACAUACUAUCUUUUCUAGAGUCAAGUAAGAAACAUGUUUAGCAAAGAAGAGUCUAGUGAGGAACCAUGAUUCCUUCUUUAAGCCAAGUUAAAAUGCCUCAUUCUUGUUUCCGUAAAAGAUGGUUGAGUGAUGCAUAUGAAUCACUUGAUUCCACUGUUGAUCAAGCAUGUGAAAAAAAACACAUUGUGUCUGAACAGAUACUGGGGAAAAUAGAAGUUCUCCUUGUGUAGACUCACCCACACGGGAGUUAUCACUUGAUGCUAUAGUCUGCAAGUGAUGAAUGCUCAUGUGUGAUGAGGCUGAUUCAUCCCUUGCUGGUGACAAAGACCUUUCCAAGCAAGGCUUCAUAACUUCAGCCUUUCUGCUGUUGUUGGAUUAGAGCUCCCAUAAUCUCCAGCCACAAUAGUCAGGGAUGAUCUUCAAGGAUAAACUUGUAAAGCACAUAGAAGAACAGGUCCUGCUGGGAGUGAACCAGCAUGGCUUCCGCAAAGGGAAAUCUUGCCUCACCAACCUUUUGGACUUCUUUGAGAGUGUCAACAAGUGUGUGGAUCAAGGUGAUCCAGUUGACAUAGUAUACCUGGACUUCCAAAAAGCUUUUAACAAAAUUCCUCAUCAAAGACUCCUGAGAAAACUUAGCAGUCAUGGGAUAAGGGGACAAGUACAUGUGCGGAUUGCUAACUGGUUGAAAGACAGGUAACAGAGGGUAGGUAUAAAUGGAGAGUUUUCACAAUGGAGGGAAGUAAGAAAUGGGGUUGCCCAGGGAUCUGUACUGGGACCGGUGCUUUUGAAAUUAUUCAUAAAUGAUCUAGAAGCAGAAGGAAGCAACGAGGUGGCCAGAUUUGCAGAUGAUACCAACUCUUUUGGGUAGUGAAAUCCAAAAUGGAUUGUGAGGAGCUCCAAAAGGAUCUCUCCAAACUGGAUGAGUGGGCGACAAAGUGGAAUAUGCAGUUCAGUGUCGGCAGGUGUAAAGUGAUGCACAUUGGGAUGAAAACACCCAACUUCAAGUAUACAUUGAUGGGAUCUGAGCUGUCAGUGACUGACCAGGAGAGGGAUCUUGGGGUCAUGGUGGACCGCACUGUUGCCAGAACAUAAGGGUAUAUUUGUGGGUCAAAUGAGCUGUAACCCAAAAUUUGGCUUUAAAAAAGCCAAUCUGGCAAUCAGCUUGUUGAAAGUGUCAACUCAAUGUGCAGCAGCUGUGAAAAAGGCCAAUUGUAUGCUAGGGAUCAUUAGGAAAGGGAUUGAAAAUAAAACAGCUAAUAUCAUAAUGUCCUUAUACAAAACGAUGGUGCGGCCACACCUGGAGUACUGUAUACAAUUCUGGUAACCACAUCUAAAAAGGACAUUGUAGAACUAGAAAAAGUGCAGAAGAGGGCAACCAAGAUGAUCAGGGGCCUAGAGCACCUUUCUUAUGAGGCAAGGCUACAACACCUGGGGCUAUUUAGUUUAGAAAAAAGACGACUGUGGGGAGACAUGAUAGAGGUCUAUAAAAUCAUGCAUGGUGUGGAGAAAGUGGAUAGAGAGAAAUUUUUCUCCCUCUCACAUAACACUAGAACCAGGGGUCAUCCCAUGAAAUUGAUUGCCAGGAAAUCUAGGACCAAUAAACGGAAGUACUUUUUCACACAACGCAUAAUCAACUUGUGGAAUUCUAUGCCACGAGAUGUGGUGACAGCCAACAACCUGGAUGGCUUUAAGAAGGGUUUGGAUCACUUCAUGGAGGAGAGGUCUAUCAUCGGUUACCAGUUGGAGGGCUAAAGAUCACCUCCCGCCUCAAAGGCAGGAUGCCUCUGGGUACCAGUUUCAGGGACGUAACAGCAGGAGAGAGGGCAUGCCUUCAACUCCUGCCCGUGGCUUCCAGCUGCAUCUGGUAUGCUCGACUAGAUGGGCUCUGGGCCUGAUCCAGCAAGGCUGUUCUUAUGCUCUUAUGUUCUUAUGGGAGUUGUAGUCCAACAUUGGGAGGAAGGUCAGAGUUGUGCAUCCCUGUUGUAGAUGGACAGAUUAAGACAGGGAGUGUGUAAAGUGAAGCAUAGUGACUUGAGGCUAGUAUUGCACAUUGGAGGGAUACUUGCUACAGGGGGAAAAGUAGGAUUGGAUUCAAAGAACCAUGUAUCAAAAGGAAGUUGCUGCUCGUGCUGUUCUGCAAACAUUUGUGCAAGAGUUCACACACUGCUAUAAUAGGUUGGCUCUGUCAGAAUUGGCAUGCUUCGGCUUGUGCAUGGUAUGGAGCAUGCGGAAGACUAUCUUUGGAUUUAGUUGUGUGCAGAUGAGCAUUUUUUAAUUUGGUUGCAUUUUGCUUCUGUAACACUCUAAGGCAAGGUGUAAACCAGAGAUGCCUUCUGCAUGUGGAAAGGUACCUUUGGAUCCAGUCCUGGAAAUCUAGACUUCAUAGUCUACAAAUCUUAGAUGCUCUGUCACACAGACCAAGUGGUCCUGGGUGAACAUCCCGAUCCAAGUGGUCCCAAGUGAACAUCCCAAGAUGCCUCCACCCAGUUCAACGGAAUUCAAAUGAGCAGUGUGAUGUGGAUGAGGUUGUGUAUCUUGACGUACUCCUGUGUAGGGAAAGGCGUGAUUGCUCAUGCAAAUCUCCCUUGAUGAAUAAUGUGUGCAUGUACUCAGGAAUAGACAUCCUGGGAAGUGUGGGAAUAAGAUGUUGCAAGCGAGAUGAGCAGCCCUAGAGCCUUUUGGUUAUGAAAAGGAAUUGAUUUAUUUUCAUUAAAAACAUCAUCAAAACAGUUAGGCAAGAAUCCUUCCAUCUAAGUUGAUUGACAGGGCGUCACACAUGUAGGUACAUUCCUUGAUGCUGCAAGAUUACUCAUCACCUGAUCACACUCAGCUGAAUGUGUGAACAGCCCCUCUGGAGAUGGCUGUGUUUGGGUUGACACACUGGUUGAUAUAGGUUUUUUAUGGGGUGAAGGCACAGACAAGUCUUCAUUGGAUGCUAACAUCAACGAGAGAGAAACAUAUACCUGUGAACUGUCCGGUACCCCAGCAUAACUAUCAUCCCACAUUUAAAUUGUUGGUCAAGAGAUGGCUUGGUGUGUAGCAGUCCCCUGAGGCUGGUUCACAACUAGAUCAGUAAGGACAAACGGACCCAAGUUUGGGAGCUGUGCUCACCUCCAUGUUGUGAUCGUGUGCCACUGAAUAAAAAAGAUUGGAGGUGGAGGCAAGGUUCUCGCUGGGGAGGAGAACUCUGCCGUACCCUGCAGUUGUACCCAGCUGCUUAAUGAGGUAGGAGGAAAGGCCUCCUAUUACCUUGCAGGACCCUUGCACAGAAUCACUUUCCCCAACUCCACCCUUGUCUUUUACUAGCUCACAAUCACAAAAUGGGAGUGCGCACAACUCCUAAAAACUUGAGACAUUUCUCCCACCCGGUACCUGUUUGCACAAAUUAGCCUCUGAUCUAAUGCCUCGCUCUGUCCAAAGCUGCUCUCGGAGUCAUGUCACCCACCCAGCAGCGAUCUGCAAGAGCAGGAUUUCUACCCUGGGUUCAUAGACGAGAAUCUGCUGGAGUCAGAGCAAACAAGCAGAACUUAUGUAUUUGUGAUUUAUCUAACACAUUUUUAUACCGCCCCAUACCCAAGUCCCUGGGUGGCUCACUAUCUAAUAACUUAACAACAGUUAAAAACAGUUUAAAAUACAGAUUAAAAAUCUAAAACUUCAAACUUUAAAACUAUACACAGGGGCAUAGCAAGGUUGGAGUGGGCCCAGAGACAAGAUUUUAAAAUGCUUCCCUCACUGAAGCUCAGCUCAUGAAGUAAAGAAAUCUUAAAUGAGGCUGAAUAGUGGGAACAAAAAGCAUUGUGUGUGUGUGUGUGUGUGUGUGUGUAUAAAAUAACCUAUGUGCCACAAUAGAACAUCAUCCUAAAUUAUUAUUUAAAAAAAGAUUUUGUAAAUUGAGGAGGAUGCAAGUCAUUUAAUGGUACUAGAGAAAGACAUGCUGUUCUGGUCGCUCCAGGUCUGAACACUCACAUCAGUUUCGGAGGAUGAAUACAACUGAAGGAAGCCCGGGUAGGUGCGUGGCUGGGGGAGUCAGUCCUGUGACUUGCCUCUGGGGGGGCCCCCAAGGCAGUGGGCCCCCAGACAAACUGGCCAUGGGGAACAGCUACCAAAGAGCAUUCUAUCUUGUCCUCUGAGACUCUCAUACAAUAACAGGAGAUACGCUUGGAGGGGCAAUGCGAUGUUAAAAGAACGUCUCCUUCCUCAUGAACCUCAUCGCCUAUUAAGAUCAUCUAGGGAGGCCCGGUUGCAGUUGCCACAGGCUCAAUUGUUGGCAACUCAAAACCGGGCCUUUUCUAGGGUGGCCCCGGGACUUUGGAAUGCAAACCUUAAUAAAAUUAGAGCCCCUCCCCUUCUCUGGAUGUUUAUAAGAAGGACCUGGAAACAUACCUGUUUAGUCAGGCUUUUAGUGUAUAGUCAGGGGCGUAACUAUAAUAUAUACCUUCCCCUUGGUAGUCGUGUACACUCCUCCUGCAGAUCUAUAUCCAAUAUGAUCAAUAUGCCUGACAAAACAUAUCACCUGAUCUAAACCCCUCCCUAUAAGGUUUUCUUGGGACGUGCCCAGAUGAUGCAAUUUCGUUUUCAGAGCUAUUUCCCAUUGAGAUGUAAAGCUGUCAAUUAACACUAAAGGCGCUAGACCGACUGGGAGGAAAAGCUACACAUAGCUAUAAGCUACAUGCUCUAUAUAUUUAGUAUGGCUGUCUGAUUUGGGUGGUAAUUUAUGGCUGCCACCAAAGUUGUGUGUAAAGCAACAUUUGAAGCAAACUUGCUGGUUUCUUCUUCAGGAGAAACAUCGGAGGAGUGCAAGAGGAGCUAAAGUAGUUUCAACAGGACUAGUGUCAUAGCUCAGAGGCAGAGGCACUCUUAUCCCUGGACUUCAGGGCCGAAGUCCAGAUCCUCCACAGCCCCAAGUUCAAAGCCUCCACAGCCCCUGGCCCCCCCCAAUCCUCUUUAGUCUGUCCCGGGUGGUGUGAUCCCCUGGCCGAGCAUGAUGAUGCUUAAUUUGCAGGGCAGGGGGCCCUCCAAAGGUCUUUAGGUCCAGGCUCCAAAAUUACCUAGGUGCACCUCUUCUCGGAGGAGGCAUCCUACAUACUCUUUAGCUUUCUUCCAAGCCUAUUUAACAGCUCUUUAGCAUUGCCUUCUGAACUGGACUGUUUAUGAUUUAUAGAAACCAGUAAACAUGGGUUUCUCAGACGUGGGUCUCUAGACGUUGUUGGACUACAGCUGCCAUCACCCCCAGUCACAAUGGCUGGAUGCAGGGGCGGAGCCUCCAUUGAGCGGUAGGGUUCAAAGAACCUGGGCCGCCGAUGAAAAGGGCCACCAGUGCCCUCCGUGUGCGUGACGUCACACGCAAAGGGGGCAUGGCCCAAUCACCAGAGGGCACACCCCGUUCUUCCUAUUGCAUCCCCACCCAGCAUUUGCUGGCUGGAUGUGUUUAUUUUACUGGAGGGAGAGAAAGGGAAAUUAACACAGCUAGGCAGCAAAUGCUGGCUAGAAAUGAGCCUGGGAGAGCCGGGAGACCCCCUUUGUGAGUUUCCUGGAAAUGCAUUCAUGAGGGCUCUGGUGGGCCCUCCGGCAAUCGGGCCAUGCCCCCUUUGCAUGUGAUGUCACACACACGGACGUCACAUGCGGGGGCCACCAGUGGGAGGGACAUGGGCUGCCGUUCUGCUGGCUACGCUACUGGCUGGAUGGCUAGAGAUGAUGGUUGGGGAUGGUGAUUCUGCUAGUGCGCCGGGUUGCUCAGUCUCCCACACUGACUCAAGGGCUAGGGAUGAUGGGAGUUGUAGUCCAACAACUGGGGAUCUAAUUUUGAUAAACCCUACAGUAAACGGUUCAUUGUCCAGCCAUAAUUCAAAUAAUCUAGAUACACAAUUUCCUUCUUUUAUGUGAAAACAGGCAUUGAUUUCCCAAGAGCUGCUAUCCGUAGAACAAUCAAACCCAUUAUUACAACACCUGCAAAAACAGAGACCAGCUAGAGGAUUUUGGCACUUGUUAAAUCUUACCAACUGGAAACAUUAAUGCGAUCAACAUUUCUGCCUUGAUUUGCUCAGCAAGACGAAUGUGAUAUGCCUCAUUAUUUUCAGGGUCAAGGGCUUCAUAAACUGUGUAACAGUUUCUGGAAAUGCCCCCAGUUCAAUGGAAGUUAAUGGAUGGGCUUUUGCUUCUAGAAUAAUGUCUCCUGCACUUUCCUUUUGGUAAUUCUGUGGCUGAUGAAUGUGUUUGGCUGAGUAUAUGGAAUAUUGUGCCUUAAAGUUCCCUUAUCAUGUGAGCCUUCAUUUCUUCUUUGUGAAAGUUAUAUAAAGUGUGCUGUAGCUGAGGAUGAUCUGCUGCUCUGCAAAGAUCCAUUUUUGGUACUUGGGUCUAACUUUCAAAAGCCAUUGUUCUGGACGAAAUCCAAUGGGACUUCAGUCUAUACUGUCAGGUGCAGAUGAUCAAAAAAACCCCCCCAGAGAUCUCUUCUGUCUUCUGUUUCCAUUUCUUGCCAAGCACCUUCAAAUUCUGUUUUACCCAUACCUGUGUCAUAACCCAGUGGGCACAGAUUAAAGCUCGAUGAGGCUAUGAAAUGCAGAAAUGGUUCCAUGUCCUAUCAGUUCCCUGUCCAGCACAGAACUCUCUGUGUGCGCACACACUCACUGGAACCCCGCAUGUACUCUGGAGCCCUUGGUUCCUGGGAAUUAUGUCGUUCAUGUCACUGAAGAGAGAAAGCCACCAACUGUGUUUUUAGUGUGUCUCAUUUUAAUCACUCCCCCACAGAAAGAUCCUAGCAGAGGCAGGAGAUGGGUAGGAUGGAUGUGGCCAACCUAUAUUCUGUCCUUGCAGGGCCUUCCCGCCAGCCACGGGAGGGCCCGAUUACUCAUCCGGUUGCAGGGUCGAGAAGUUGGAGGCUGCACCACUCCUGGGCACAGUGAGCAACCUUCCCCGGUUGCCAGGGAGAGCCAAGAGACCCGGGAACCGAUGGACCAUGGGUGGGUCAGUGUGGCCCAGCAGGUUGCCUCCUGGUGGUGAAGAGGAGAAGGCAGGGCCUCAACAGCUGGCAAGACGGGCAACAGCUGGAGGAGGGAGGAGGGAGCCAGCUCGAUUGGAGAGGGCAGAGUCAGGAGAGGGUGACUGGGAUUGCCCCGAUUGCAGGGCUUUAUUUAAAGCUUGGAUGGCCAGGGAUGAGGGGGUCUGGAGAGAUGGGAGUGACUUGGCCCUAGAGCAGGCCUGCACGACAUAAGGCCCGGUGGCCAGAUCUGGCCCACGGGGACUUCUUUGCUGGCACCAGGGCUGGCCCAAAGUAUUGUGAUGCCAAAGGCCACCUUGCCCCAUGGACUUGGUGGGGGUCAGGCCCCUUUCAAAACUGACUUUUGAAGGUGUCGAAAAUUUACCUCGGCCCCUGCCUACCAAGUCAUGGUUGGUUCUGGCCCACCAGGGUAUUUGACUUGUGCACCCCUGCCUUAGAGAUGCCUGGCAAGGAGCUGUCUGACCCCUCUCCCUGACGGCCGGUGGAGGAAUAGGGUGAUGAUUACCCCAUCCCCAGCCAUUCCACGGCCAAUUCAGUAGACUGUGGCCUCAGGCAAGUGCGUGACAGUCCCCAGCAUUUUAUCAAGGGUGGACAGAAAGCUGCCCUAGCUAGCUCCCAGCUCUCACACACGAUCACUCUCCUCUCCUCUUGCUUUGCUGGCUGAGUUUACAUGACUGCCGACCGGGAGCAUGCACAGACCUCCUCCCUGUGUCAGAGCUAUCCCAAUAGGUUCACUAGGGCCAUUGACUGAUGUCUAAAAAUAGGUGACGAAUGGUGUCUAUUCAAGCAGCAGACCCCUCCUGUGGAUGCAGCAGGUGGCCUCUGCCGCACUACUGGCUGGGUGGGAAACCAUGUGGGGGACCUGCUGUGUUGAGGGAGUGGUCACCUACCAAGAUGCGGUGGCUGACUCCGCUCUUGUGCAAAGCUGCUGCACUAGCGCAAGGCUGUGGUGCUAGCUCGUUGGGCUAUGUCUAGAAUUUGCAUUCUAGUGUCUGCUCGUGAAAACACAUUACUGCACUGAUUCCACAAGGCAUGCAACCUCUGAUGCCUCAUAGAUUUUGCAGGGAACGUCUGCACAAGCAUGCAAGAGUGCAAUUCUGAACAUGUAAUCUUGCACUCGUGCAACAUUGCUGGUUGCCCAAGUCCGGUGUUAGGAGGUCAGCCAGCAUGUCCAGACACCUGCCCCUCCUGCUGCUGCUGCACCAGCUUGCUUACUCUACCAGGCAUGUGUUGGAGAUGGAGCAUCGACUCUUGGGACUUUUUAUCCUAGUGACCACUCGGGGCAUGAGGAGUUGGGCCUUCCUCUUUAUUUCAUUCCUUGUGUCUGCAUGAUCUGGCUGUCUGUGAUUGGCAGACUGAUAUUCUGCACCUGUCUGUUCUGCCCGUCUUGCUCCCAGACCCCUCUUGGCUCUUCUCUGCUGCAGACUGCAUUACCCUUACCAUCUCACAGACCGCAUUACCCUCAGACUGCAUUACCCUCACCAUCUCACAAGCACACAGGCUUUCUACCCAAGAAUGUAUUUUCCCAAUCAAGCUUACUUGUGUAGGGAUCUUAAACAACUGUCUCAAGCCACUCUUUAAUGGGUGCAGCACCUUUUACUGCUUUGCUGUUUUAAAUGAAACGGAGGGGAGGCUUACCGGAGGUUAACCUCGGAAGCCAAGAGUCAUGCUGCAGACGAUCCGGCAGCUGAGAUUCCAUUGCUUCCAGCUGCAAUCCCCCUCCCUCUUCCUCUUCCGUUGAGCAUGUCACUUGCCCGGCAGCCAUUGGCCUUGAGAUGAGAGGGGAUGUGCUUGUGGGAGGAGCUUGAGCGCAAACCCGAAGUUGCUGUAUUUCAAUGAGACAAUGGGGUCAAUGGAGCUUCUGUUCCAGCAAGCUAUCCAACUUCAAGCUGAGGGUUCCAUCCUCGGUUUGAAGGUCGCAACAGAACUGUGAUUGCAGGAUUUUCCUGCAUUUGGAUGAUGAGGAACGCCAACCUCAGGUGAGUGUAACUGAGGGUGGCUGUGUCAUCUGAACUAUGCCAGAGUGUUGCUUCAGCAGCUGUCAGAACCUGGAUAAAAUACUGCUGCAGGGGGGUGUAAUCUUGACUUCACUAGGGAAAACUGGCUCUCCGUUAAAGAGGUGGCACACUGGUUCUGAAAGAUGUGCUAAAAAAAAUAAAAAAUAAAAAAAUUGGCAAGUCGCCCGACUUCUAGGUCUUUGAGACCGGCACGCUGGUGAAAUCAGGCGGUCAGGAGGCGAGAGAGGUUCUGUUGGAGGAGAAUAUCAGAGGGUAUUGUUAAGGGAAGCACCACAUAUCUGGAGGGUUUCUUCCAUCAUCUGUGAAGAUCUCUACAGGAAGCACUUCUUGACAUAACUCUAGGGCAGUAUUUCCCAACCUUUCCCACCCCCCUCGAGGCACACUUGGAGUAAGGAGGGUGGAAUUAGGGUACGCCCCCCCCCACCAGAUUUUUUCUGGUGGUAAUGCAGCCACACAUUUUUUCACUUUUUAAAACCCUCCUGGUCCAUUAUGGAGAGACUCAGCUCCAAAAGUCAAGAAUUGAAACUCCCAGCUUUGCAGCUGAUGCACCUCUUUAUGUGUCAGGAAGGGGCACUCCUUCCUGAUGCAUUAUGGGACGACGCAGAUGACUCGCCACAUAACGGACCAGGAAGGAGCAAUUCAGCCUGGUAGACCAGCCAUGGGGAACAGUUGGGAACAUGGGUUGAGAAAUGCUGCCCUAGGAAGGAGCUCCCAUCAAGACGACUAUUCUGCUACAUCCUCCUUGGUGAAGAGGUUUCCGAGUUUGGGUUCUGUGCCAUGACACUGUGAGAGUUUUGGAAAGUGAAGCUAAACCAUGCUGAAGAGAGAGAGCACUCCAGUACACAGGCGGGGUGGGUGGGUGGGCGGGAUGUCCCAUCUGUGUUUGUGCAGACUAAGUGUAGAAGCCCCAGCAGUUCAUUUGUGGGGCUUUAAAAAUUGCUUGUGCAAUCAAUUAAUUACACUAUGGAAUCAAGUGAGAGGGGCAGUCCCAGAUAGUAUCACUCAUGCAUCAAAGAGGCAUCAGUCAUUCUUGGAAUGUACCAGCCUGUGUUAAAAUGUUAUAGAGGGGCGGAUUUUAUACUGCUUGGCCGGAACGACUUCAUUGUACAAUCAGCAACAAAUUUUGGACCUACUUGAGACUUACCUGAAAGGUUUUUAUUGAUUUUUUAAAAAAGUGAAUGGUAUAAAAAUGUAUUUUAAAAAUAUAAAUAUAAAUAUAUAUAUAAAUAUAAACAUGGAUAUGUGCAUGAUAUUACUAAUAAAGUUCUAUUUCUAUUGAAAAA
This is a long non-coding RNA of Hemicordylus capensis (graceful crag lizard), 12677 nucleotides long. RefSeq lists it as uncharacterized. The record is from RefSeq and is a predicted model, not a curated record. The transcript has 4 exons. NCBI's taxonomy places the organism in Eukaryota, Metazoa, Chordata, Lepidosauria, Squamata, Cordylidae.